AGUGAACGCUGGCGGUAGGCCUAACACAUGCAAGUCGAACGGCAGCACAGUAAGAGCUUGCUCUUACGGGUGGCGAGUGGCGGACGGGUGAGGAAUACAUCGGAAUCUACUUUUUCGUGGGGGAUAACGUAGGGAAACUUACGCUAAUACCGCAUACGACCUACGGGUGAAAGCAGGGGAUCUUCGGACCUUGCGCGAUUGAAUGAGCCGAUGUCGGAUUAGCUAGUUGGCGGGGUAAAGGCCCACCAAGGCGACGAUCCGUAGCUGGUCUGAGAGGAUGAUCAGCCACACUGGAACUGAGACACGGUCCAGACUACUACGGGAGGCAGCAGUGGGGAAUAGUGGACAAUGGGCGCAAGCCUGAUCCAGCCAUACCGCGUGGGUGAAGAAGGCCUUCGGGUUGGAAAGCCCUUUUGUUGGGAGAGAAAAGCAGCAGGUUAAUACCCCGCUGUUCUGUCGGUACCCAAAGAAUAAGCACCGGCUAACUUCGUG
This 492-nucleotide ribosomal RNA is filed under the name uncultured bacterium. RNAcentral describes it as "partial 16S ribosomal RNA". It matches the Rfam family "Bacterial small subunit ribosomal RNA", at positions 29 to 507 of the family's 1533-position model. The record is from RNAcentral.